This 502-nucleotide ribosomal RNA is filed under the name uncultured bacterium. Its description in RNAcentral is "bacterial SSU rRNA". It matches the Rfam family "Bacterial small subunit ribosomal RNA", at positions 28 to 517 of the family's 1533-position model. The record is from RNAcentral.
GAUGAACGCUAGCUACAGGCUUAACACAUGCAAGUCGAGGGGAAACGAUAGAGAAAGCUUGCUUUUUCUAGGCGUCGACCGGCGCACGGGUGAGUAACGCGUAUCCAACCUGCCCAUCACUUGGGGAUAACCUUGCGAAAGUAAGACUAAUACCCAAUGACGUCUCUAGAAGACAUCUGAAAGAGAUUAAAGAUUUAUCGGUGAUGGAUGGGGAUGCGUCUGAUUAGCUUGUUGGCGGGGUAACGGCCCACCAAGGCGACGAUCAGUAGGGGUUCUGAGAGGAAGGUCCCCCACAUUGGAACUGAGACACGGUCCAAACUCCUACGGGAGGCAGCAGUGAGGAAUAUUGGUCAAUGGACGAGAGUCUGAACCAGCCAAGUAGCGUGCAGGAUGACGGGCCCUAUGGGUUGUAAACUGCUUUUAUAAGGGAAUAAAGUGAGUCUCGUGAGGCUUUUGCAUGUACCUUAUGAAUAAGGACCGGCUAAUUCCGUGCCAGCAGCCG